This 3027-nucleotide ribosomal RNA is filed under the name Salmonella enterica subsp. enterica serovar 1,4,[5],12:i:-. RNAcentral's name for it is "23S ribosomal RNA". It matches the Rfam family "Bacterial large subunit ribosomal RNA". The record is from RNAcentral. Lineage: Bacteria; Pseudomonadati; Pseudomonadota; Gammaproteobacteria; Enterobacterales; Enterobacteriaceae.
GGGUUGUGAGGUUAAGCGACUAAGCGUACACGGUGGAUGCCCUGGCAGUCAGAGGCGAUGAAGGGCGUGCUAAUCUGCGAUAAGCGCCGGUAAGGUGAUAUGAACCGUUAUAACCGGCGAUACCCGAAUGGGGAAACCCAGUGUGACUCGUCACACUAUCAUUAACUGAAUCCAUAGGUUAAUGAGGCGAACCGGGGGAACUGAAACAUCUAAGUACCCCGAGGAAAAGAAAUCAACCGAGAUUCCCCCAGUAGCGGCGAGCGAACGGGGAGGAGCCCAGAGCCUGAAUCAGCAUGUGUGUUAGUGGAAGCGUCUGGAAAGGCGCGCGAUACAGGGUGACAGCCCCGUACACAAAAGCGCAUGUGCUGUGAGCUCGAUGAGUAGGGCGGGACACGUGGUAUCCUGUCUGAAUAUGGGGGGACCAUCCUCCAAGGCUAAAUACUCCUGACUGACCGAUAGUGAACCAGUACCGUGAGGGAAAGGCGAAAAGAACCCCGGCGAGGGGAGUGAAAAAGAACCUGAAACCGUGUACGUACAAGCAGUGGGAGCCCCACCACCAAAGCAUUCUCUGGUGUUGAAGGCCCUGCAAAGCAGCAUCGCGGUGGCGGAGCGUCGUUUGCGACGCCCAACACACAAAACAAGCGGUGAAUGCUUUGGGGUGGGGUGACUGCGUACCUUUUGUAUAAUGGGUCAGCGACUUAUAUUCUGUAGCAAGGUUAACCGAAUAGGGGAGCCGGAGGGAAACCGAGUCUUAAUUGGGCGUUAAGUUGCAGGGUAUAGACCCGAAACCCGGUGAUCUAGCCAUGGGCAGGUUGAAGGUUGGGUAACACUAACUGGAGGACCGAACCGACUAAUGUUGAAAAAUUAGCGGAUGACCUGUGGCUGGGGGUGAAAGGCCAAUCAAACCGGGAGAUAGCUGGUUCUCCCCGAAAGCUAUUUAGGUAGCGCCUCGUGAAUUCAUCUCCGGGGGUAGAGCACUGUUUCGGCUAGGGGGCCAUCCCGGCUUACCAACCCGAUGCAAACUGCGAAUACCGGAGAAUGUUAUCACGGGGAGACACACGGCGGGUGCUAACGUCCGUCGUGAAGAGGGAAACAACCCAGACCGCCAGCUAAGGUCCCAAAGUCAUGGUUAAGUGGGAAACGAUGUGGGAAGGCCCAGACAGCCAGGAUGUUGGCUUAGAAGCAGCCAUCAUUUAAAGAAAGCGUAAUAGCUCACUGGUCGAGUCGGCCUGCGCGGAAGAUGUAACGGGGCUAAACCAUGCACCGAAGCUGCGGCAGCGACGCUGAUGCGUUGUUGGGUAGGGGAGCGUUCUGUAAGCCUGCGAAGGUGACCUGUGAGGGUUGCUGGAGGUAUCAGAAGUGCGAAUGCUGACAUAAGUAACGAUAAAGCGGGUGAAAAGCCCGCUCGCCGGAAGACCAAGGGUUCCUGUCCAACGUUAAUCGGGGCAGGGUGAGUCGACCCCUAAGGCGAGGCCGAAAGGCGUAGUCGAUGGGAAACGGGUUAAUAUUCCCGUACUUGGUGUUACUGCGAAGGGGGGACGGAGAAGGCUAUGUUGGCCGGGCGACGGUUGUCCCGGUUUAAGCGUGUAGGUGUGUGUUCCAGGUAAAUCCGGUUCACUUUAACACUGAGGCGUGAUGACGAGGCACUACGGUGCUGAAGCAACAAAUGCCCUGCUUCCAGGAAAAGCCUCUAAGCAUCAGGUAACAUCAAAUCGUACCCCAAACCGACACAGGUGGUCAGGUAGAGAAUACCAAGGCGCUUGAGAGAACUCGGGUGAAGGAACUAGGCAAAAUGGUGCCGUAACUUCGGGAGAAGGCACGCUGACACGUAGGUGAAGUGAUUUACUCACGGAGCUGAAGUCAGUCGAAGAUACCAGCUGGCUGCAACUGUUUAUUAAAAACACAGCACUGUGCAAACACGAAAGUGGACGUAUACGGUGUGACGCCUGCCCGGUGCCGGAAGGUUAAUUGAUGGGGUCAGCGCAAGCGAAGCUCCUGAUCGAAGCCCCGGUAAACGGCGGCCGUAACUAUAACGGUCCUAAGGUAGCGAAAUUCCUUGUCGGGUAAGUUCCGACCUGCACGAAUGGCGUAAUGAUGGCGGGCUGUCUCCACCCGAGACUCAGUGAAAUUGAACUCGCUGUGAAGAUGCAGUGUACCCGCGGCAAGACGGAAAGACCCCGUGAACCUUUACUAUAGCUUGACACUGAACAUUGAGCCUUGAUGUGUAGGAUAGGUGGGAGGCUUUGAAGUGUGGACGCCAGUCUGCAUGGAGCCGACCUUGAAAUACCACCCUUUAAUGUUUGAUGUUCUAACGUGGACCCGUAAUCCGGGUUGCGGACAGUGUCUGGUGGGUAGUUUGACUGGGGCGGUCUCCUCCUAAAGAGUAACGGAGGAGCACGAAGGUUGGCUAAUCGGUCGGACAUCAGGAGGUUAGUGCAAUGGCAUAAGCCAGCUUGACUGCGAGCGUGACGGCGCGAGCAGGUGCGAAAGCAGGUCAUAGUGAUCCGGUGGUUCUGAAUGGAAGGGCCAUCGCUCAACGGAUAAAAGGUACUCCGGGGAUAACAGGCUGAUACCGCCCAAGAGUUCAUAUCGACGGCGGUGUUUGGCACCUCGAUGUCGGCUCAUCACAUCCUGGGGCUGAAGUAGGUCCCAAGGGUAUGGCUGUUCGCCAUUUAAAGUGGUACGCGAGCUGGGUUUAGAACGUCGUGAGACAGUUCGGUCCCUAUCUGCCGUGGGCGCUGGAGAACUGAGGGGGGCUGCUCCUAGUACGAGAGGACCGGAGUGGACGCAUCACUGGUGUUCGGGUUGUCAUGCCAAUGGCACUGCCCGGUAGCUAAAUGCGGAAGAGAUAAGUGCUGAAAGCAUCUAAGCACGAAACUUGCCCCGAGAUGAGUUCUCCCUGAGACUUUAGGUCUCCUGAAGGAACGUUGAAGACGACGACGUUGAUAGGCCGGGUGUGUAAGCGCAGCGAUGCGUUGAGCUAACCGGUACUAAUGAACCGUGAGGCUUAACCUUACAACGCCGAAG